RNAcentral lists this ribosomal RNA (460 nucleotides) under uncultured bacterium. RNAcentral's name for it is "partial 16S ribosomal RNA". It matches the Rfam family "Bacterial small subunit ribosomal RNA", at positions 338 to 795 of the family's 1533-position model. The record is from RNAcentral.
CCUACGGGAGGCAGCAGUGAGGAAUAUUGGUCAAUGGGCGCGAGCCUGAUCCAGCCAAGUAGCGUGAAGGAUGACUGCCCUACGGGUUGUAAACUUCUUUUAUAAAGGAGUAAAGUUAGGCACGUGUGCCUUUUUGUAUGUACUUUAUGAAUAAGGAUCUGCUGACUCCGUGCCAGCAGCCGCGGUAAUACGGAGGAUCCGAGCGUUAUCCGGAUUUAUGGGGUGUAAAGGGAGCGUAGAUGGAUUGUUAAGUCAGUUGUGAAAGUUUGCGGCUCAACCGUAAAAUUGCAAUUGAUACUGGCAGCCUUGAGUGCAGUUGAGGUAGGCGGAAUUCGUGGUGUAGCGGUGAAAUGCUUAGAUAUCACGAAGAACUCCGAUUGCGAAGGCAGCCUACUAAACUGCAACUGACAUUGAUGCUCGAAAGUGUGGGUAUCAAACAGGAUUAGAUACCCGUGUAGUC